This 755-nucleotide ribosomal RNA is filed under the name uncultured bacterium. Its description in RNAcentral is "bacterial SSU rRNA". It matches the Rfam family "Bacterial small subunit ribosomal RNA", at positions 577 to 1332 of the family's 1533-position model. The record is from RNAcentral.
GGCUAAUUAAGUCAAAUGUGAAAUCCCCGAGCUUAACUUGGGAAUUGCAUUCGAUACUGGUUAGCUAGAGUAUGGGAGAGGAUGGUAGAAUUCCAGGUGUAGCGGUGAAAUGCGUAGAGAUCUGGAGGAAUACCGAUGGCGAAGGCAGCCAUCUGGCCUAAUACUGACACUGAGGUGCGAAAGCAUGGGGAGCAAACAGGAUUAGAUACCCUGGUAGUCCAUGCCGUAAACGAUGUCUACUAGCCGUUGGGGGAUUUGAUCCUUUAGUGGCGCAGCUAACGCGAUAAGUAGACCGCCUGGGGAGUACGGUCGCAAGACUAAAACUCAAAUGAAUUGACGGGGGCCCGCACAAGCGGUGGAGCAUGUGGUUUAAUUCGAUGCAACGCGAAGAACCUUACCUGGCCUUGACAUAGUAGAGACUUUCCAGAGAUGGAUUGGUGCCUUCGGGAAUCUACAUACAGGUGCUGCAUGGCUGUCGUCAGCUCGUGUCGUGAGAUGUUGGGUUAAGUCCCGCAACGAGCGCAACCCUUUUCCUUACUUGCCAGCAUUUCGGAUGGGAACUUUAAGGAUACUGCCAGUGACAAACUGGAGGAAGGCGGGGACGACGUCAAGUCAUCAUGGCCCUUACGGCCAGGGCUACACACGUGCUACAAUGGUCGGUACAAAGGGUUGCUACACAGCGAUGUGAUGCUAAUCUCAAAAAGCCGAUCGUAGUCCGGAUCGCAGUCUGCAACUCGAGUGCGUGAAGUCGGAAU